UGAAAUUAAAUUAAAUAGCUGCAGUAAUUUAACUGUACAAAGGUAGCAUAAUAAAUAGUUUCUUAAUUAGAAACUAGAAUGAAUGGUUGGAUGAAAUAUAGACUGUCUCAAAUUUAAAUUUUUAUAAUUUUAUUUUUAGUUAAAAAUCUAAAAUUUUUUUAAAAGACGAGAAGACCCUAUAGAUUUUUAUAAUUUUAAUAAAAAAUUAAAUUUACUUUAUUAAUUUUUUUAAAAAAAUUAUUUAAUUGGGGUGAUUAUUAAAUUUAAAAAACUUUUUUUUUUUUUAAC
Molecule: ribosomal RNA, 288 nt
Filed under: Physotarsus fabioi
Lineage: Eukaryota; Metazoa; Arthropoda; Insecta; Hymenoptera; Ichneumonidae
Description: partial 16S ribosomal RNA
Source: RNAcentral